This 312-nucleotide long non-coding RNA is filed under the name Elaeis guineensis (African oil palm). RNAcentral describes it as "long non-coding RNA (EGUI_LNC035251)". The record is from RNAcentral. Lineage: Eukaryota; Viridiplantae; Streptophyta; Magnoliopsida; Arecales; Arecaceae.
AGAGAGAGAGAGAGAGAGAGAGAGAGAUGGUGCUUAUUACGAAGAAGAAGAGAGAGAGAUGGUGCUUAUUAAGGAGAAGAAAAUAGAGAGAAAGAGAGAUGGUGCUUAUUAUGAAGAAGAAGAGAGAGAGACUAAUCAAUGACUUCUGUCCCCCCUUCCCUCUCUCAAGGGAAGUUUCCAUCAGUUUUAUAAAUGGAAGCAGUUGAAGCAUCACUAUUUAGUGUUAGGCUCGAACAAAAGUGCAUGUGGUGGUUUCAAGAGCCUUACCUAGCAGUCACGGGUUAAUCCCAAUAGGGAAGAGUUUUAAUCAUU